GAUGAACGCUGGCGGCGUGCUUAACACAUGCAAGUCGAACGAAAAGGCCCAAGCUUGCUUGGGUACUCGAGUGGCGAACGGGUGAGUAACACGUGGGUGAUCUGCCCUUCACUUCGGGAUAAGCCUGGGAAACUGGGUCUAAUACCGGAGAGGACCACUUCUUGGAUGUUGUGGUGGAAAGUUUUUUCGGUGUGGGAUGAGCUCGCGGCCUAUCAGCUUGUUGGUGGGGUAAUGGCCUACCAACGCGUCGACGGGUCGCCGGCCUGAGAGGGAGUACGGGCACAAUGGGACUGAGAUACGGCGCAGACUGCUACGGGCGGCAGCGGUGGAGAAUCUUGCACAAUGGGCGCAAGUCUGAUGCGGCGGCGUCGCGUGGGGGAUGACGGCCUUCGGGUUGUAAACUCCUUUCGCUAGGGACGAGGCGUUUUGGGCCGGUACCUGGAGAAGAAGCACCGCCUACCUACGU
RNAcentral lists this ribosomal RNA (466 nucleotides) under uncultured bacterium. RNAcentral's name for it is "partial 16S ribosomal RNA". It matches the Rfam family "Bacterial small subunit ribosomal RNA", at positions 28 to 506 of the family's 1533-position model. The record is from RNAcentral.